Molecule: long non-coding RNA, 2209 nt
Organism: Lycium barbarum (goji berry)
Lineage: Eukaryota; Viridiplantae; Streptophyta; Magnoliopsida; Solanales; Solanaceae
Exons: 2
Source: RefSeq, a predicted model, not a curated record
GUUACGUACCGUAUUUUUAUACAUUGGGACAACCCGGAUUAACUAUGACAAUUAAGGGCCAAGACUAUUCCGGGAUUUGACGUCGGGACUUUUGACCAUUUGAUUUUAUUUUGAGACAUAAGUUGAAUAUGAAAUUGAUGGCAUUGGACACUUAGGAAAAAUUGGGACCACAAUUCAUAAAAUUGGAAUUUAAAAGUCUUGCACCAAAAGCCAUGGUGGCCGUGUGGACUUGAAAUGGUCCCACACAUUGUGUGGCCAAUUUUAAUUGGUCCAACACAUGUGUGGGCCAUAAACAAAGGGAGCUAUUUGUGGAUACAAAAAAAAAAAAAAAAGACUAAGUCAUCUUUCUCAUUUCCCACUUCUACACUUAGCGAAAAAUAACAAGACUUGGAGAGCCUCCACUCCCCCAUGGUUCUCGGCCACAACCAAGAAAAAUCAAGUCCCAUUUUUGCCUCUCUAAAAUUAUUUCUUUGGUAUAAACCCACUAUUUGGAGGUCCCUAAGUAGCGUGGAAGUAUUGUUUGGGUCAUUCAACCACUCAUUUUUCCCAUUUACAAACCCUAGCCUAUUGGUGGAUUGAAGAAUAAAGGUGAGUUCUAAUCUUGUUUUUGGAGUUAUAAAUGUUGUAUGCAUAUUGUAGUAUGCUAAAAUGGAUAAAAAUCAUGAAAUAUGGAAUGUUGAAGUUGGGUCUUGUGUUGGGUGUGUUGACCGUGUGAAGUAUAUGUGUGUGGUGUGGUAUUGGGUUGAUGAAUUAAUUGCUUGUAGCAUAUUGAUUGUCGUAGAGUGGAGAAGAGAAUAAAAAUCAUCGAUACAUGUAUAUGUGUAGUGUAGCCGUGUAUAUAGCCUCCAAAUGGUAGCAAAGAAUGAAUUAAUAUCGCUUAGCGUCGUAAUGGUUGUUGUGAUGAUUUGUAUGUUGGAAAUGAGAGUUAAAUGUCCCGAAUUGAUAUAGUAAGCGUUGCGGACUGAUUUGGAGAACUUUGUGCAUUUAAUGCAAUCCUUAUAUAUGAGAACCAUUAACAUAUGAAUAUGUGUAGUGUGAAUGAAUGUGAGUCAUAGAUUAUGCCGAAUAUCGCAUUAUUAUCGCUUAAGCGCUUUCGUGUCGUCGUUACGAAUUUUAGUUUGGAAUUGAGCAUUUAAUGACUUAAGAUUGAUGUUGAGAUUGUACGGGCUGAUUUGAGGGUUAUUGUGCGUUGAUGUAAUUUGUAUAUUUUAUGAAAAUGGUAUCGUUAUAUUGUGAAUUGUGAUACAAAACAUGAAUUGAAAGUCGGAAGUGUGCCCAGUGGGCUGCUCACGGGUAGGGGCUGUUUUCGGCCAAAAAUUUGGAGAAAUUGUGGAUUGUUGGAAAAAUUAUGUGAAUUUUUUAGAAUGUUCUUGAAUGUUGUUAGUAUGGGUUUGGGUUAAUAAUCGAAUGUACGAACGAUAUUGUGGCUUGAAAGUAAGCCAUUGAAUUGAAUAAUUGGAAAGUUGUCGAAUGGUGUAAAAGAGAGCUACUAUUAUUAUUUUGCCUUUCGAAUUGAUUAUCGAUGUUGCUAGGUUGGUUAUUGUGGUUGUUGUUGUUGAUUUUGAGCGAGUUAAAUUCUCGGGAUGGCCUAUUUAUAGGGGAAAUGCUGCCGAAUUUUCUGUAGAAUUUAAUGUUAGUUGGAAUAAAUGGCUUAAGUGCCUAUGUUUAAUAUUGGAUAUUCGUUGGCAUAUUUGUAGACCUUGGGGAGCCCGAGGCGUAGAUUGGAAUUUACUUUAUAUUGGCCAUCUUGGAGUGCGUACGAGGUACAGACGCACAGUUUGGUGAUCUACCCAUUUAGGACACCCUAUUCUGCUGUUUGGAGUGCUCUUCUCAUUUCAGAGCACACAUUUUGGUAUAUAUUCGUUCGCCAUGUAUAUAUGUAUUUGUUCAGGGGCACGGCGGGGCCCUGUCCCGCCAUAUGAUUCGGUUUGUCUGUUUAGAGGUCUGUAGACGUAUUUGUGGGUGUGUGUGCCUACUUCUGUACGGAUGUGUUUGCAUGACUCUAUUCGUUAUGGCAGCCUCGUCGGCGUGCAUUUUGUAUAUGUUUGUGGCAGCCUUGUCGGCGUGCAUUUGUAUAUGCGUUUUGGGCCGUUGUGCCAUUUGACAGCCUUGUCGGCUUUUGACAUAUUUGAUAGCCUUGCCGGCUUUUUGAUAUAUGUGCAUAUGUUCGGCGAUGUAUAUUCCGCCGCCUCUUCUGAUUCUGAUAUAA